Microcebus murinus (gray mouse lemur) is the source of this 1380-nucleotide non-coding RNA. Lineage: Eukaryota; Metazoa; Chordata; Mammalia; Primates; Cheirogaleidae. The record is from RefSeq and is a predicted model, not a curated record.
GGCCGGGCGAGGUGGCUCACGCCUGUAAUCCUGCCCAGGAUGUACCAGGCAGGCCUUCCGCUUGGGUAGGACCCCGGGGGCUGAGCUAUCUCAAGAGGCCAAUCAACCCCAGUGUAGCAGGUUAGCAAAGACCUUGUUAGUUACUGGCUGACUAGUUGGCCAGAGCUAAGCUGAAAGAGAAAUCUCCAAGUGUUCUGCUACUUUCUCUGCUUGGCAAGAAGAGAAGGAGUGCAGCUUGAAGGAGCGGGGAAUGUCAAGUUGAUGAGAAAACGCAUUUGAAUGUUUGCUGUGGAUUACAGUCAUUUGUAAGUACAUUAACAGAAGAAAUGCAAAGAGUGGAGAUGAGAUUGCUGUUGUAAAAUACAGAUGAAAUCAGAAACUUAUCUAAAAUCUGACCUUGCAACCCUAAAACCAAAAUCAGGGACUUUGAUAAAGAUCUAAGUGGUCUUGUAUUGGAAAAGACCUCAAGAGAAGGAGGAGGCCACUGCAAAGAUUGCUGUGACUUGGGGAAGGACGUGAUCACACACACUGCAUGAAGCAUGGUGACACUCUUAAUGGGAUGCGACACAGAUCAACUGGGGAGAUUUGACUCUCUGAAGAGGAGUUCCUGAAAAGUCCUGAAGCAACAGGUGGACCUGAAGUCAGAGCUGUUUGCAAGAUGGAAAAGAGGGUGAAACAUUUCGGCUCUGGAACAAGCACUGGCAGCGUGAAAAUGCACGAAGUGAGCACCUGCUUAUGCUGUUCGCUGCCGGGAGCAAGUUCCAGCAACACACCCCCUACUAAUGAGGAAACUGCAAAAGAGAACUCAAGACAUUAAACACAGAUCUACAGUGAAGGAUGUGUUUACAUCCUAUAUGUGAGUGGAGUGAGUAUAUUUUUAGGGUAGCAAGUUCUGGCCAAGCAAGCUUAACAUGAAAACAUGAGAAUUACUCUGCUUCAAGAGACCCACCCAAUUCAAUAUUCUGUCUUUGAGAGUGGAACUGAAAAUAUAAUUACUAUGUAGUGCUUAAUGUGUAAAUGACCAAUUUAGUUCCCCUUAUAUGCUGUCCUGUAAUAAAUCUAUGCUCCACUAGGACAGGGUCCCUGUUAAAUCACCAGCUACCUGGGAACUCUGGGCAAGUCAUUCUGGAUAGACACGUAGACAAGGAUGACUUCCCUAGGCACUCAUUUUUAAUGUAUAAAACUUUUCUAAAUAGAUAACAGUCAUAAUGAUGGUGUAUAAUAAAGUUCGUGGAACCAUGUAUAUCCGUACACUAAAUGUCCCAGAAUGCUGUACUUCUAAUGUUUUUAUGUGAGAUUUUAUAGUUUUUUCCUGCCACUUCUCUUGGCUCUGAGGGUACAGCUUACUUAUUACAGACUUUCUUCUAAUUCAGUUUCUAA